UAAUNGGUACCUCAGCUAGUUAUCUGUCC
Molecule: non-coding RNA, 29 nt
Filed under: Mus musculus (house mouse)
Lineage: Eukaryota; Metazoa; Chordata; Mammalia; Rodentia; Muridae
Source: RNAcentral